GAUAAACGCUGGCGGCGUGCCUUAUGCAUGCAAGUCGUACGUGAGACCGGCUUCGGCCGGUUGAAAGUGGCGAACGGGUGAGUAACACGUAGGAACCUGCCCGGAAGUGGGGGAUAACUCCGCGAAAGCGGGGCUAAUACCGCAUGUGUCGCAAGACCAAAGCUUCGGCGCUUCCGGAGGGGCCUGCGGCGGAUUAGCUAGUUGGUGGGGUAACGGCCUACCAAGGCGACGAUCCGUAGCUGGUCUGAGAGGAUGGUCAGCCACACUGGAACUGAGACACGGUCCAGACUCCUACGGGAGGCAGCAGCAAGGAAUUUUGCGCAAUGGGCGAAAGCCUGACGCAGCAACGCCGCGUGGGGGAAGAAGGCCUUCGGGUUGUAAACCCCUUUUGCGAGGGAAGAAGAUCUGACGGUACCUCGCGAAUAAGCCACGGCUAACUACGUGCCAGCAGCCGCAGUAA
Molecule: ribosomal RNA, 460 nt
Filed under: uncultured bacterium
Lineage: Bacteria
Description: partial 16S ribosomal RNA
Rfam family: Bacterial small subunit ribosomal RNA
Source: RNAcentral